UAAUACAGAGGUCUCGAGCGUUAGUCGGAAUCACUGGGCUUAAAGCGUACGUAGGCGGAGGUGCAGGCGUCGUGUGAAAUCCCCCGGCUCAACCGGGGAAUAGCACGGCGAACCGCACCUCUUGAGAGAGGUAGGGGCGGUCGGAACGAUAGGUGGAGUGGUGAAAUGCGUUGAUAUCUAUCGGAACGCCGAAGGUGAAAACAGGCCGCUGGGCCUUCUCUGACGCUGAGGUACGAAAGCGUGGGUAGCGAACGGGAUUAGAUACCCCGGUAGUCCACGCCGUAAACGAUGUGCACGUGAUCGAGGAUGGGUCUGACCCCAAUCUCGGUCGAAGUAAAAACGAUGAGUGCACCGCCUGGGGAGUACGGUCGCAAGGCUA
Molecule: ribosomal RNA, 379 nt
Filed under: uncultured bacterium
Lineage: Bacteria
Description: bacterial SSU rRNA
Rfam family: Bacterial small subunit ribosomal RNA
Source: RNAcentral